GCCUUGGUGGUGAAAUAGUAGACACGCAAGACUCAAAAUCUCUUGCUAAAGAGCGUGGAGGUUCGAGCCCUUCUCAAGGCA
Capsicum annuum is the source of this 81-nucleotide non-coding RNA. The record is from Rfam. NCBI's taxonomy places the organism in Eukaryota, Viridiplantae, Streptophyta, Magnoliopsida, Solanales, Solanaceae.